RNAcentral lists this ribosomal RNA (374 nucleotides) under uncultured Glomus. RNAcentral's name for it is "SSU rRNA". It matches the Rfam family "Eukaryotic small subunit ribosomal RNA", at positions 721 to 1092 of the family's 1831-position model. The record is from RNAcentral. Lineage: Eukaryota; Fungi; Glomeromycota; Glomeromycetes; Glomerales; Glomeraceae.
UUAAUUUGGUGUUGUCGGGGAAUUCGGACUGUUACUUUGAAAAAAUUAAGAAGUGUUUAAAGCAAGCUAACGCUUGAAUACAUUAGCAUGGAAUAAUGAAAUAGGACGUUCGAUCCUAUUUGUUGGUUUCUAGGAUUGACGUAAUGAUUAAUAGGGAUAUUGGGGGCAUUAGUAUUCAAUUGUCAGAGGUGAAAUUCUUUGGAUUUAUUGAAGACUAACUACUGCGAAAGCAUUUUGCCAAGGAUGUUUUCAUUAAUCAAGAACGAAAGUUAGGGGAUCGAAGACGAUCAGAUACCGUCGUAGUCUUAACCAUAAACUAUGCCGACUAGGGAUCGGAUGAUGUUAAUUUUUAAUGACUCAUUCGGCGCCUUACG